CCUACGGGAGGCAGCAGUAGGGAAUCUUUCACAAUGGGCGAAAGCCUGAUGGAGCAACGCCGCGUGCAGGAUGAAGGCCUUCGGGUUGUAAACUGCUUUUAUAAGCGAGAAAUAUGAUGGUAACUUAUUAAUAAGGAACGGCUAACAACGUGCCAGCAGCCGCGGUUAUACGUAGGAUACGAGCAUUAUCCGGAGUGACUGGGUGUAAAGAGUUGCGUAGGUGGCAUAAUAAGUAGCUAGUGAAAUCUGGUGGCUCAACCAUUCAGACUAUUAGCUAAACUGUUAAGCUCGAGAGCGUUAGGGGUAGCUGGAAUUUAUAGUGUAGGAGUGAAAUCCGUAGAUAUUAGAAAGAACACCAAUAGCGUAGGCAGGUUACUGGGACGGUUCUGACACUAAGGCACGAAAGCGUAGGGAGCAAACGGGAUUAGAUACCCUUGUAGUC
RNAcentral lists this ribosomal RNA (442 nucleotides) under uncultured bacterium. Its description in RNAcentral is "partial 16S ribosomal RNA". It matches the Rfam family "Bacterial small subunit ribosomal RNA", at positions 338 to 795 of the family's 1533-position model. The record is from RNAcentral.